AUUGCUUCUCCACCUUUUGGCUAAGAUCAAGUGUAGUAUCUGUUCUUAUCAAGAUAACAUCUGAUACAUCCUCUAUCCAAGGACAAUAUAGUAAAUGGAUUUUUGGAACAAGGAAAUGGAAUAGGAGCUUGUGUCCACUCCACACACUGAUCUGGUACUGCAAUACCUCCAGAAAUGAUACGCCCUUC
Molecule: small nuclear RNA, 188 nt
Filed under: Castor canadensis (American beaver)
Lineage: Eukaryota; Metazoa; Chordata; Mammalia; Rodentia; Castoridae
Description: U2 spliceosomal RNA (ENSCCNG00000019642.1)
Rfam family: U2 spliceosomal RNA
About the family: U2 is a small nuclear RNA (snRNA) component of the spliceosome (involved in pre-mRNA splicing). Complementary binding between U2 snRNA (in an area lying towards the 5' end but 3' to hairpin I) and the branchpoint sequence (BPS) of the intron results the bulging out of an unpaired adenosine, on the BPS, which initiates a nucleophilic attack at the intronic 5' splice site, thus starting the first of two transesterification reactions that mediate splicing.
Source: Rfam by way of RNAcentral